Molecule: transfer RNA, 57 nt
Filed under: Cucullanus robustus
Lineage: Eukaryota; Metazoa; Nematoda; Chromadorea; Rhabditida; Cucullanidae
Description: tRNA-Asn
Source: RNAcentral
UAAGAUUUAUUUUAAGUAAGAAUAUCCAACUGUUAAUUGGGGGGUUUAUAGUCUUAG